GUGGGGAUGACGUCAAAUCAUCAUGCCCCUUAUGAUUUGGGCUACACACGUGCUACAAUGGACAAUACAAAGGGCAGCGAAACCGCGAGGUCAAGCAAAUCCCAUAAAGUUGUUCUCAGUUCGGAUUGUAGUCUGCAACUCGACUACAUGAAGCUGGAAUCGCUAGUAAUCGUAGAUCAGCAUGCUACGGUGAAUACGUUCCCGGGUCUUGUACACACCGCCCGUCACACCACGAGAGUUUGUAACACCCGAAGCCGGUGGAGUAACCUUUUAGGAGCUAGCCGUCGAAGGUGGGACAAAUGAUUGGGGUGAAGUCGUAACAAGGUAGCCGUAUCGGAAGGUGCGGCUGGAUCACCUCCUUU
Molecule: ribosomal RNA, 362 nt
Filed under: Staphylococcus aureus
Lineage: Bacteria; Bacillati; Bacillota; Bacilli; Caryophanales; Staphylococcaceae
Description: bacterial SSU rRNA
Rfam family: Bacterial small subunit ribosomal RNA
Source: RNAcentral